This 31-nucleotide non-coding RNA is filed under the name Prorocentrum micans. The record is from RNAcentral. Lineage: Eukaryota; Dinophyceae; Prorocentrales; Prorocentraceae.
UGGUUUUUUUUUUUUUUUUUUUUUUUUUUUC